Long non-coding RNA from Cucurbita maxima (winter squash), 302 nucleotides. RefSeq lists it as uncharacterized. The transcript has 2 exons. Lineage: Eukaryota; Viridiplantae; Streptophyta; Magnoliopsida; Cucurbitales; Cucurbitaceae. The record is from RefSeq and is a predicted model, not a curated record.
CAUCAAGAUCACAUGCUUUGCUUCAAGUAUCUGACCAUUCCAGUAAGAUCUCUGAAGAAACAGCUCUGUCUAUAUUUGUUUACCUGGAUCGGAGAAGAACCAGAGAACGACGGCGCAGAAGACGACGACGACGGGAAUGAAGUGGAUGAAGAUCUUGGCAAGCUUAAGACGGCGACGUUCUUUUUCGGCCGCGUGAGAGAACGGAUUAUACGUCGGUAGGUAAAGCUCUGAGUCCAAGCCGGAACUCACACUCGAAGAUCUAAAGACUGCGGAUUGCAACGACGACAACGACGACGGCGAAC